This 23-nucleotide non-coding RNA is filed under the name Mus musculus (house mouse). Lineage: Eukaryota; Metazoa; Chordata; Mammalia; Rodentia; Muridae. The record is from RNAcentral.
UGGUUCUGAAGGAAAGUUGAGUC